Molecule: ribosomal RNA, 375 nt
Filed under: uncultured bacterium
Lineage: Bacteria
Description: bacterial SSU rRNA
Rfam family: Bacterial small subunit ribosomal RNA
Source: RNAcentral
UACGUAGGUGGCAAGCGUUGUCCGGAAUUAUUGGGCGUAAAGCGCGCGCAGGCGGGAAUGUAAGUCUGUCUUAAAAGUUCGGUGCUCAACGCCGUGAUGGGACAGAAACUAUAUUUCUUGAGUGCAGGAGAGGACAGUGGAAUUCCCAGUGUAGCGGUGAAAUGCGUAGAUAUUGGGAGGAACACCAGUGGCGAAGGCGACUGUCUGGACUGUGUCUGACGCUGAGGCGCGAAAGCCAGGGUAGUGAACGGGAUUAGAUACCCCGGUAAUCCUGGCCGUAAACGAUGGGUACUAGGUGUUGGGGGUAUCGACCCCUCCAGUGCCGGAGUUAACGCAAUAAGUACCCCGCCUGGGGAGUACGGCCGCAAGGUUGAA